GAUCAUGGCUCAGAACGAACGCUGGCGGCAUGCCUAACACAUGCAAGUCGAACGAGACCUUCGGGUCUAGUGGCGCACGGGUGCGUAACGCGUGGGAACCUGCCUUUAGGUUCGGAAUAACUCAGAGAAAUUUGAGCUAAUACCGGAUGAUGUCUUCGGACCAAAGAUUUAUCGCCUUUAGAUGGGCCCGCGUUGGAUUAGCUAGUUGGUGGGGUAAAGGCCUACCAAGGCGACGAUCCAUAGCUGGUCUGAGAGGAUGAUCAGCCACACUGGGACUGAGACACGGCCCAGACUCCUACGGGAGGCAGCAGUGGGGAAUUUUGGACAAUGGGCGAAAGCCUGAUCCAGCCAUUCCGCGUGCAGGAUGAAGGCCCUCGGGUUGUAAACCGCUUUCAGCAGGGAAGAAGCGAAAGUGACGGUACCUGCAGAAGAAGCACCGGCUAACUAUGUG
This 451-nucleotide ribosomal RNA is filed under the name uncultured bacterium. RNAcentral describes it as "bacterial SSU rRNA". It matches the Rfam family "Bacterial small subunit ribosomal RNA", at positions 15 to 507 of the family's 1533-position model. The record is from RNAcentral.